UACGAAGGGGGCUAGCGUUGCCCGGAAUCACUGGGCGUAAAGCGCACGUAGGCGGAUCUUUAAGUCAGGGGUGAAUCCUGGAGCUCAACUCCAGAACUGCCUUUGAUACUGGGGAUCUCGAGUCCGGGAGAGGUGAGUGGAACUGCGAGUGUAGAGGUGAAAUUCGUAGAUAUUAGGAAGAACACCAGUGGCGAAGGCGGCUCACUGGCUCGGUACUGACGCUGAGGCGCGAAAGCGUGGGGAGCAAACAGG
RNAcentral lists this ribosomal RNA (252 nucleotides) under uncultured bacterium. RNAcentral's name for it is "partial 16S ribosomal RNA". It matches the Rfam family "Bacterial small subunit ribosomal RNA", at positions 524 to 776 of the family's 1533-position model. The record is from RNAcentral.